ACUUAUGGUCUUCGUUCUCGGCCUUGUCCACCCCCUGAUCGAUAUUCUCCUUCUCGCUAUGGUCUUUCGACCGUUGUUGAGCCGACUUCUUAUCGAGAUGCUAUUGUUCAUCCUGAAUGGCAGUUUGCCAUGGCAGAGGAGAUUGCUGCCCUUGAACGCACCGUCACGUGGGAUCUGGUUUCUCUUCCUCCCUGUGUUCGCCCCAUCACUUGUAAGUGGGUCUAUAAGAUUAAGACUCGCUCUGAUGGUUCUCUUGAGCGUUAUAAAGCUCGUCUUGUGGCUCGUGGCUUUCAGCAGGAGCAUGGACGUGAU
RNAcentral lists this ribosomal RNA (312 nucleotides) under Triticum aestivum (bread wheat). RNAcentral's name for it is "partial small subunit ribosomal RNA". The record is from RNAcentral. Lineage: Eukaryota; Viridiplantae; Streptophyta; Magnoliopsida; Poales; Poaceae.